GCGCACCAGUCGAGAAACCUCCGCAAUGCACGCAAGUGCGACGGGGGAACCCCAAGUGCCACUCUUAACGGGGUGGCUUUUCAGAAGUGUAAAAAGCUUCUGGAAUAAGGGCUGGGCAAGACCGGUGCCAGCCGCCGCGGUAACACCGGCAGCUCAAGUGGUAGCCGCUUUUAUUGGGCCUAAAGCGUCCGUAGCCGGUCUGAUAAGUCUCUGGUGAAAUCCCACAGCUUAACUGUGGGAAUUGCUGGAGAUACUAUCAUGACUCGAGGUCGGGAGAGGCUGGAGGUACUCCCAGGGUAGGGGUGAAAUCCUGUAAUCCUGGGAGGACCACCUGUGGCGAAGGCGUCCAGCUGGAACGAACCUGACGGUGAGGGACGAAAGCCAGGGGCGCGAACCGGAUUAGAUACCCGGGUAGUCC
Molecule: ribosomal RNA, 418 nt
Filed under: uncultured Methanothermobacter sp.
Lineage: Archaea; Methanobacteriati; Methanobacteriota; Methanobacteria; Methanobacteriales; Methanobacteriaceae
Description: bacterial SSU rRNA
Rfam family: Archaeal small subunit ribosomal RNA
Source: RNAcentral